AAGACUACACUUUCAGGGAUCAUAUCUAUAAUUUGUUACUAGGGAAGUUUCUCUGACUGUGUAGAGUACCGGAAACAAUGAGGAGGGGACAUAUUGUUCUCUCCUGAGCAUGAAGUUGGCUAUUGGUGUUGCUUCACAGCAACUGCCAUUUUCCAUUGGUGAUCGUUCUUCUUUCUUUUGGGAGAGUAGAGGGAGAGGAUACAGUGUAAGUGGA
Molecule: small nucleolar RNA, 214 nt
Organism: Nannospalax galili (Upper Galilee mountains blind mole rat)
Lineage: Eukaryota; Metazoa; Chordata; Mammalia; Rodentia; Spalacidae
Gene: U3
Rfam family: Small nucleolar RNA U3
About the family: Small nucleolar RNAs (snoRNAs) are involved in the processing and modification of rRNA in the nucleolus. There are two main classes of snoRNAs: the box C/D class, and the box H/ACA class.
Source: Ensembl